Molecule: long non-coding RNA, 6101 nt
Filed under: Salmo salar (Atlantic salmon)
Lineage: Eukaryota; Metazoa; Chordata; Actinopteri; Salmoniformes; Salmonidae
Description: lncRNA (ENSSSAG00000113986.1)
Source: RNAcentral
UCGUCUUCACCAGCAGAGAGUCCACCUCGUCAUCACUAGUAGAGAGGCCACCUCGUCUUCACCAGCAGAGAGUCCACCUCGUCUUCACCAGCAGAGAGUCCACCUCGUCAUCACUAGUAGAGAGGCCACCUCGUCUUCACCAGUAGAGAGUCCACCUCGUCAUCACUAGUAGAGAGUCCGACUCGUCAUCACUAGUAGAGAGGCCACCUCGUCAUCACUAGUAGAGAGUCCACCUCGUCAUCACUAGUAGAGAGUCCACCUCGUCAUCACUAGUAGAGAGGCCACCUCGUCUUCACUAGUAGAGGCCACCUCGUCGUCACCAGCAGAGAGACUUUAUUGGCGUCAACCUUUGGCGAUUAGAUGUUUUCAUUUGUGAAGAGUUGAAACAGUAGAAAAGGGAUAAGACUGCAAACACACAUCACCUGUGAAUACACACAUGUUUAAGGUUAUCAGACCAAACAAUAACAGCUAGGUUACAUUCAUUUAAGUGUUCAAAUAAACGCAAUUAUUAAAAUUUGAACAUAAUUCACCGAAAUUUGUACAAAUAUGAAAUAUCAAUAGAAAAACUAGAUUGUGAAUUUCAGUCACACAUUUACUUGCAUACCUUUUUAUCCGAGGCUCACAGGUGUCCCGAGAAACAGCUAAGAACGUUAGUGAAAGUGUCCUCUUCAAAACAAACAAAACACUUCCACUUCACAGUUGAUGGUAGAAUAACUUCAUGUUCAAAACAGGAAGUACUGGUUUCAGUAAAGCAAGUCUUGAUGUACGGUCUCUUAAUCUUGCUAGAAAAAACCCCGGAAAAGUUCCAAAUAUAUUUUCUAAAAGAAAAACAUGCUCCAUCAUAGUAGGUUCUUUCACCAACGCAAGUCUUAUUUAAAAAAAUAUAUAUAUCCUUGUUUACCUUCUUAUAUCUAACAAAGAAGAUCAGAGGUUCUUCUAUUGAGGCUUGUAAAGGUAGUGGAGUUUGGCUUGUCAAUUGAAACGUCGUUCAACGCUGAAAACAAAUGAAGUGUAGCAAUAAUCAUGCUGUAUUCAGUCUCUUUACAGCAAGACCAGGCAUCAAGUGUUAACAGGAGGCCAAGGGAAUCUACACAAUCCACAAAUCAAAGUCUAAACCCUUAAUCCAAAUAAGUCAAACACAUAUACAUAUAUACAUACAUACAUUUCCCAUUAUUUCACUGAAUACUAAAAAGACUAGGUUAAUUGGUACACCAUUUGCACGUUUUGCUACAGUAUUCCUAAUGAAUACAAUGGAGUUGAAUCUCUGGUAGGCUUGUUGACUCUGUGAGGUAUAGAAUGUGAGUCUAUUGACUUCAGGGAGACAGGAAAUUAGUCUUCCAUUAGGAACCAUUCUAAGUAUGGUCUUUGGGUCAAUUCAGAGUAAGCUUGUUGCAACUGUUGUCAUUGUAAUGUGUGCAUCAACCAGUUUGUGUAAUUUUUUCCACCGUUAGACUACAUCCUGUCCAGACUUUAGCUCCACUGCUUUAGUGUUUCUCUCUACCACACCUGCUCAACAGCCCUUCUUCUUUUUGACUACAACCCUGUUCUCUCUGCCCUGAUUUCAACACAAGUCUUUUUCACUGUCCAUUGUCCAGAGGCAUUCCAAAGAGCGAGUUUUCUUGAACAUGUCAAAGGUUACAAAUGCAACACUGACAGCACUUGACGUUUUGCAUAUUUUCUAAUACCCACAAACCCUAGGAUAUCUGAUCUGUAAUUCUGGGAUUUGUUUGAAUUUCUUAUCAGAACCAGUCUCGACUACAAAAUAUUUAAAAAGUUUGGCAAGAAUCAACCUAACAUAUUACAAUGACUUUAAUCUAUCUGCAUCAGACUCCUUUUCCUGGUCACGGUAAUAUUUUUCUCCAUUCUAUUUCCUGGCCGAGAGGAGAUUAAGUUAAAUCAAAUACAAUUUUAUUUGUCACACGCGCCGAAUACAACAGGUGUAGACCUUACUGCGAAAUGCUUUCUGACAAGCUCUUAACUAACAAUGCAGAUUUUUUUUAUUAAUUAAGAAAAUAUUUGCUAUUUAAAAAACAUAACUAAAGCAAGAUAAAAAAGUAAUACAAUAAAAUACCAUUAAGGAGACUAUAUACAAGGGGUACCGGUGCAGAAUCAAUGUGCGGGUGUACAGGUUAGUCGUGUAAAUUGAGGUAAUAUGUACAUGUAGGUAGGGGUAAACUGACUACGCAUAGAUUAUAAACAGCGAGUAGCAACAGCAUAAAAAAGGGGGGCAAUGCAAAUAGUCCGGGUAGCCAUUUGAUUAACUGUUUAACAGUCUUAUCACUUGGGGGUAGAAGCUGUUAAGGAGCCUUUUGGUCCCAGACUUGGCGCUCCGGUACCGCUUGCUGUGCGGUAGCAGACAGAACAGUCUGACAAUUUUUAAGACCUUCCUCUGACACCAGAGAUGCUCUGUGACUCAUCACAAUGAGGUUCUACUGGGAUGAAACAACAGAGAUGCUCUCUGUCUCGUCACAAUGAGGUUCUACUUGUCUGACUUCAUAGCAUUACAUGUCAUUGGUCUUCGUGGCUAUAAAACAUAUCAACUUAUUUAUUUUUCCUCAUUAAAUCUCCUCUUUUCUGUUACUCCUUUCAGUCUUUGGCUCAAGUGAAGCUGUAGUGACCUUCUGGUUACAUAACUUGUUACAUAACGUAACUUGUUCAACUUGCCUACCUGGUUAAAUAAAGGUGAAAUAAAAAUAUUUUAAAAAACAUCUGUGAAGUUGGGUUGAUUUGACUUUCAAAAGAACUCCUUUCUGCAGUCGGUAGUGGUGACUUGUGGGAGGCUGAAUACAUUUUUUUCCCGAAUAUUACUGGGUGUUGAUCCAUGCCAUGAUCAAGUGCUCUUCAGAUGUUCUGACGGUAUCUUGGUCUUCACAGAAAUAAACCACUUUGAUCUCAGAGUGAAGGUCUGGUCCAUUUUAUCCUGGCCAAGCAUUGCUGCUUCAUCAGUGGAGAUUGUUUCAAAUCGUCUCCAUGGCGAUAGUGUCUAACAUGAUGAAGAUAAACUCGUUUUUGUUCAUCUUGUUCCAUACAUUUUUCCGGGGAAAUAAUCUUAAAGCACUGUUUUUUUUGCUUUGGUUUGAAUCACAUUUGGUAUUACAAACAAUUCUUUUGAGAGUUUGUCCCUUCUUGUGAGUUGAAGUCUGUGUUUUUUAACCAUUCUUUUCACUUUACGAUAAAUCCAAAAUUGAAAUUGACUUCGUCUCUGAUUUUGCAAACUAAGGUCAAAAUUGUAUUCUAGAAUAGCAUAGAGAAUAUGCCCCCAUCCUUCUGCUUUUAGGGGAUAGGGUUUUAUUUUAGCAUAUUUAUACACCUCAAAUACUACACCGUUUGUCAGUAACUGAAAUUCCAGUUUCUUUUUAGAGGGUUUGAAUGCAACAUCAAGGUCCAGACCUAUUUCCUCACAGCGUGUGUAGCACGCGUUGACAACUUUUUUGGUGUUAGACGUCACAUUUGAUUGGUCCAAGUUGGUAACAACAAUUUGCUUUGUUUCAUCAAUACAAAGUGCAAGGUCAGUCUCAUCAGAGAUUCUCUCCUUCUUGACACAAUGAGAUUCUACUGGUCUGACUUCGAAACGGACUCCCUCCGUCUCCCUGGCUACGCACGUGUCCAUUUCUUUUUCCUUUUUCAUUAAAUCCAAUCUCCUCCUUUUCGACACUUCUUUCAUUUGAUCAUUCGGCUCAAAUGAUGCUGUAGUUACCUGGUUACUGGACAUCUCUGUAUCAUUCUUGAGUUUGCACGAAUUCUUCAAGAAAAAGUAUUCCUUUUCUAAUUCACAUCUCAGUCGGUGAUCAUGUAAUUUUAAAUUUACAUUGGGCUGCAAAGCUGCUCUUAACCUAUUAAUGAUAUCUUCAGCCAGGUCAGUUUUCCCACUUUUUAAAUCCAGAUCAAAAUUAUGCUCAACAACAUCACAGACCAUCUGCUUCCAAUUUCCACACAUUUGUGAGGUAAAAUCAGCCAAUUCAAUCAUUACCUCUCUGGUCAAUAGACGCAAGUCAAGUUUCUCCUUUUUCCCAAAUGUUGAUUUCACAUCAAGGUCAAGUCCUUUUUCCUUACAGAUUGGGUAGAGUUCACUCAAUGCUUCUUCUACUGUGGGCAUCAUGAAGGAUUGGUCCAUUGUCAUGUCUGUCUGAGUGCUGACAGUCUCCGUCUUGACAUGAUGGAUGACGCCCAGAUCUGACUUAUCCCUUGUGCAGAUAUCAUUAGGUCCAUUUUCAGGGUCAAGGAUUGCUGUCUCAGCACAUCGUGUUACAUCUGUCUGAGUAGAGAGGUUCUCAGUCGUCACAUGCAGAGGAGCUAUCAGGUCCACAACAGGCUUCUCCUUUAUGCAGAUGUCAAAAGGUGUAGGAUUUUCUGACACGCUGUUAUUCAAAUUGGACCGUGCAAACCGAGAUUUUCCCCAUGCGUUCAUUGUCUUUGAAUCAGGAAGUUCAAACACUUCUUUUAACCACUCAGGAUUUCUCCUCUUGGUAUACAUCUUCAGCAUGUCAUUUAAUUUUCUUUCUAUCUUGUUUGAAAAGUAACCUCGUACUUCAUUUUGCACACCAAGAUCAAAGUUGUAAUCUAGAAUAUCAAAGAUAACAUGCUUGUUAGAUCUAUUAAUGUUUUUAACAUAUUCAGACACUUCGAUCAUUACACCAAUUGUCAGUAAAUGCAAAUCAAGUUUCUGUCUCGCUCCAGAUCUAACAUGGAAAUCUAUUCCUAUUUCCUUGCACUUAGCAUAUGGAUCUUUCAAAUAUUUCCCAAAUCUUUUGGGGUUAGGUUUUGAGUAACAGCCACGGCACUGCCAUAGAUAUUUAUCCUCAACCGUUUUUUGGCAUUGCAAUCUUCGUCUUAAAUUGGUAUUGUAGUCUUCUUCUUCAUCUGAGGGAAAGUUCAAUGGCUCACAAUAUUCUGGAAUAAUAUUAGAUACAGAUAAAUUAUAGCCACUUUCUAUAGCAGGUGAGGUCAGCACAGAAGUAAUGGCAGUACUAUGGCCUUGGAUAUUAACAUUGUCUACAGGCAAUUCAUUAUUGGUCCGGGUCUGUUUUCGGCUAAAACCCUGUGACUUUGGGUUGAUUUGAGCUUCAAAAGAAUCACUGAGGGUUGAUACAUGUCCUGACUCCUCUUUGAUCGAAUGCCUUUCAGAUGUGCUGAUGGUAUCUUGGUCUUUGCAGAAAUAAACAAUUUUGACACCCCUGUUCUCCCCAUCACUUGCUCCGGUCAUUUCAGGAAAAAUACGUAAAAUCUGCCCUCGACUUGUUGUUUGGGGACUUACGGUAGGUACACAUGUACGCUCUUUCAGUAAACCCACAUGGGAACCUGUUUCUGUGUUUUUUGACAAUAGAGAACUUGGGUAAUCUAUCCAGGCAUUAAUCGAAUCAGACCAAAUUAUUGUUUGGGAUAGCUCCCGCUCAUUUUCCUCUUGCUUAACGUCCAUUUUGCAUCAAUUAAAACAUGGACCAUAAAACUGAUGUGAGCAAGCUAACUUGAUAACUAGCUAUUAUCAUUUGCCCAAUAUAAGUUAGCUAAGUGGCUGCAAACGCCUAGAUCGUAUUUGGAGAUCCAGCGAACAUUUGCUAUCUACCUAGUCACAUGUUCUUUCGCUAGCUAACAAGCUAGGUUAGGCUACUACGGUUUGCAGCUGCGCUAACUAGUUAGUUGUACUAACCUGAAAGGCUAGUUAACGCUGUACCUUUACUGGUGGUGAACUACUGCAAAUCCCUUGGCCUCCAUUACGUUUGAAUGAAAUUCAAGACAAAAAAAAGACUUCCCAUAUCUUUUGAAAAAUAUGUCUGAAAACAUCCGUCAGCUAGCUAGUAAAAAGCGGUAUGCGCCAGAAUGUAACAUUUACGCACAGAGUUUCCGGGCCUUUGGUUUGAGAAGUUAACAAUUAUUUCUUAGUUUGUUCCUUUCCUCGAAACCUGAAGGCACAAACAAAAUUCGAGCCAAUGUCUUAAAGUAGUUGAAUUUGGUAUCGCUCCAAGAUUCGUGAGAAUUACAAACUAACACGUUUUGAUUUUCGACAACAAAGAAAAACGGCUUUAUAAUCGAAGGCGUGCCGUUGAUUUUUGGCGGCCUGCACAUGCGCAGUUCGACGCGAGACGUUGGUUCGACGCGAUGAC